GUGAAAUGUGAAGGUGUCGCUGACCUGUCACAUCACUUUUCAGCUAUGGUUUUCUUGGGUGCCGAAAUGUUGAAGGUGUGACUUGCCACAUCAGACAAAACCGUUUUCGAUCCAUUCCAUUUUAUCGACUGUUUGUAAUAGGCCUUACAAUAGUUUCUUCGUCUACAAUGCAGUCUCCAAUCCAACGACGACUGAAGAUUCGGAAGACGGAAGAGCAGCAGCAGGCGACCCUGAUGGAUUGCCCCAUGAUGCACUUCUACCCACUUCGACAUAUUGUAAAAUUCAACUUACAAUGCGCUAGAAAAAACGGCAGGGGAUGUCAACAGCUUGGUAAUAUUUCUGUAUGGAUAACUAGAACCAGAAUCAGAAUCACAACGAUUUUAUCUUAUUUUGUUGGUGGAAAAUAGUGAAAUUGCUAACAAAUGGUACCUAAACCUGUAUGUAACGCAACUUUGAUUCCUCUGUUUAGCAUUAUAAGACAGUGUUCAGCAAGAUAAACAAAUAAUGUUACAGCAAGAUAAACAAACAAGUCUCAACACAAUUUUUGACCUGUCCAAAUAUCAAGUCCCAAGUACCCUAGGAAUUAGGUUCCCAUUAUCCACCCAAGAGUAAGAUAGCCCUAUUGAGAAUCUAGGAUGUACAGUCACUCAUAUAAGUUCAUGGAUGUUCGGGAGUUUGAGAGAGAUUUCCAUUUCACCCCCUUUGUGGAUGACAGGUCUGAGAGUGCGAAACUGGCCAUAUGUUAAACUGACCCGUUGUCCAGAGAGGGGUUGGAUGGAAUUCAGCUUUAUGCCCAGUGACAUCCAAGAACUUAUAUGAGUGAUUAUAGAUCUGUGAAGAGCAGAGAUCUUGUCCGGGUACGAGUCUCCCCUCGUCCAACCAUCUCUGCAACGCGGGACUAGAUGGUAGAACCGAAUGGCAGUUUCUAGGCAUGGGGUUGUUAUGGAGGGGCCCUGGCCUUCCCAGUCAGAUGCUUGGGGCCCCCCUAGUUGAAAGUCCCUUUAUACCUUUACUUAACCUUCUAGUGGUCAAAAGCAUAUGUUCUCGGCCUAGCGAUCUCAUUUUUUUUUUAUCACAAUUGACACGUGCUGCUGCUAAUUAUUUUGAUCGGAUCUGAACCAUUCUAAUGGUAUUAAUAUUCUCUAUUUGAUCUACUUACAUGCCAUUGGAAUGUUUUAGCUGAGAAAGUAUUUGAAAUAUUUUUGUUUUUUUGCAAUUGUACUAUAUAUCUAACAACUUUAUUUUGGUUCUUGUUACCUUUACAACUUACUAUAUAGAGCUGAGAAAUUCAUUGCUAUAAUUAUAGGAUUUUAACACAAUUGACUUUUUUAUUCUUGAUAUUUUGCUCCAACUUAAUGUUAUCAACUUAUGUACGAAAUGAUCAAAACUAUAGUUACACUUUUGAAUAAGUGCAAUGCAAUUUGCUAAUGCUGCUUCGAGUUAAUUUCCAGGGAGAGGAGAAGAAGAAGAGGGAAUGGGAUAGGUUGAGAUUUUGGAGGGUCAUAAGUUUUUGUGUUAUUGAUGAUAUUCGCUAUAUUGAUAUAUUUACUUAACAAGGGUAUUAUACUGUAGUUGAAAAUUAAUAAAACUUGAUAAUAGUAAUGGGGCUAGAGUUGAAUGUAAGGUUGUGAGGACAUUUCCAUUACAGUAUUUGAUACAUUCGCAUAUAGUAAAGUUGAAAUGAAAAUUAAUGGAAAAUUGAGCACUAUAAUUUCAAAUACAGGUUUACUAAUUACUUAUACUGUUAUUUU
Macrobrachium nipponense is the source of this 1751-nucleotide long non-coding RNA. RefSeq lists it as uncharacterized. The record is from RefSeq and is a predicted model, not a curated record. NCBI's taxonomy places the organism in Eukaryota, Metazoa, Arthropoda, Malacostraca, Decapoda, Palaemonidae. The transcript has 4 exons.